RNAcentral lists this non-coding RNA (182 nucleotides) under Thermanaerovibrio acidaminovorans DSM 6589. RNAcentral's name for it is "6S RNA". It matches the Rfam family "6S / SsrS RNA". From Rfam's summary of the family: E. coli 6S RNA was the first non coding RNA to be sequenced, but its function was unknown until recently. It consists of 184 nucleotides that fold into an extended hairpin structure with a large single-stranded internal bulge. The 6S RNA specifically associates with RNA polymerase holoenzyme containing the sigma70 specificity factor. The record is from RNAcentral. Lineage: Bacteria; Thermotogati; Synergistota; Synergistia; Synergistales; Synergistaceae.
GUAGCCCUGUGGUGUUCGUGGAAGGGGUGUAGUGUCUUGAGCCAACACUUUGUACACCCGCCGGGGCCUUCUCCGUUCCGGUGAUGACAGCCCUCGUUGGCAGUCUGAUUCCAAGGUUUGGGGGGCCCCAAGAUUUUAGGAAGCGGGUCAAGGCCUUCCCCUCACGGCAUUGCGGGGUUAAC